Molecule: long non-coding RNA, 651 nt
Filed under: Homo sapiens (human)
Lineage: Eukaryota; Metazoa; Chordata; Mammalia; Primates; Hominidae
Description: HSALNT0107453
Source: RNAcentral
GGCAUUGCUGGAAAAGUUAACAUAGCAAUCUGCAAUCAGCUGCUUUAUAUCCCAGUGAGAAUGAAGAAAUCAAGAAUGGAAUUAAUAUGGGCAGAGGUCGGGGAGUAGCGAGGAAGAUGACUAGAAGGGAGAGAAGGACAUUAAUAGGACUUCUCAGAAAGUCAUGGAAAAUGCAUAUUGGCUCAAAUAGUCUAAAAAAGCAUAGUGUCUUCUCAUAAUCUGUAGGGAAAAGCACAGAUUUCUUUUCACAAACAACUGCAAAGUGACUGAUUACCAUGCUGCAAGAGAGGCGGUGCAGGAGAGCAGGCAGUCCAGAAGAGGACACUUAACCAGAAUUAUCACCGUCUGUCCAACUGAUAGGCCCAUCGUGAGCUUGUUAUUACUCUUAGUUGCAAACAAGGUGAAGAGGAGGAUGCAAUGAGUCAAGCUAACAGUUUUGGAAAAGAUCAGUUCUGUCCUGCCUUGCAGCAACCUCCACAAGCACAGGUUUCCAUCUUAUUGUUAACGUCCUACUAGCAUUUAAUGAUCACCUGCUACAAAACUCACCCAGGACUUGGAUAAUGAUGAAUAACUAGAAAGUAUGCCUAAAUGUUUCCUAAAUAUCUGGGCUGCUACACAACAAAGCUAUUUCAUUACCUCUGAAAGUAGAAA